CCUACGGGAGGCAGCAGUGGGGAAUCUUGCGCAAUGGCCGAGAGGCUGACGCAGCGACGCCGCGUGGGGGAUGAAGCAUUUCGGUGUGUAAACCCCUGUUGCUCGGGACGAACGACCCUUUUCGAGGGGUGUGACGGUACCGAGUGAGGAAGCACCGGCUAACUCCGUGCCAGCAGCCGCGGUAAUACGGAGGGUGCAAGCGUUGUCCGGAAUCACUGGGCGUAAAGGGCGCGUAGGUGGUUGGAUGCGCCGGUGGUGAAAGCGCAGGGCUCAACCCUGCGUCGGCCAUCGGGACGGUCCGACUGGAGCACUGUAGAGGCAGGUGGAAUUCCGGGUGUAGCGGUGGAAUGCGUAGAGAUCCGGAAGAACACCGGUGGCGAAGGCGGCCUGCUGGGCAGUUGCUGACACUGAGGCGCGACAGCGUGGGGAGCAAACAGGAUUAGAUACCCUGGUAGUCCACGCCGUAAACGAUGGGCACUAGGUGCUUGGGGGAGCGACCCCCUGAGUGCCGACGCUAACGCAUUAAGUGCCCCGCCUGGGGAGUACGACCGCAAGGUUGAAACUUAAGGAAUUGACGG
RNAcentral lists this ribosomal RNA (578 nucleotides) under uncultured bacterium. RNAcentral describes it as "bacterial SSU rRNA". It matches the Rfam family "Bacterial small subunit ribosomal RNA", at positions 338 to 916 of the family's 1533-position model. The record is from RNAcentral.